ACGGGUGAGUAACGCGUGGGAACGUACCUUUUGGUUCGGAACAACUGAGGGAAACUUCAGCUAAUACCGGAUAAGCCCUUACGGGGAAAGAUUUAUCGCCGAAAGAUCGGCCCGCGUCUGAUUAGCUAGUUGGUGAGGUAAGAGCUCACCAAGGCGACGAUCAGUAGCUGGUCUGAGAGGAUGAUCAGCCACACUGGGACUGAGACACGGCCCAGACUCCUACGGGAGGCAGCAGUGGGGAAUAUUGGACAAUGGGCGCAAGCCUGAUCCAGCCAUGCCGCGUGAGUGAUGAAGGCCCUAGGGUUGUAAAGCUCUUUUGUGCGGGAAGAUAGUGACGGUACCGCAAGAAUAAGCCCCGGCUAACUUCGUGCCAGCAGCCGCGGUAAUACGAAGGGGGCUAGCGUUGCUCGGAAUCACUGGGCGUAAAGGGUGCGUAGGCGGGUCUUUAAGUCAGGGGUGAAAUCCUGGAGCUCAACUCCAGAACUGCCUUUGAUACUGAGGAUCUUGAGUUCGGGAGAGGUGAGUGGAACUGCGAGUGUAGAGGUGAAAUUCGUAGA
Molecule: ribosomal RNA, 557 nt
Filed under: uncultured Bradyrhizobiaceae bacterium
Lineage: Bacteria; Pseudomonadati; Pseudomonadota; Alphaproteobacteria; Hyphomicrobiales; Nitrobacteraceae
Description: bacterial SSU rRNA
Rfam family: Bacterial small subunit ribosomal RNA
Source: RNAcentral